UGGGGAAUAUUGGACAAUGGGCGAAAGCCUGAUCCAGCCAUGCCGCGUGUGUGAAGAAGGUCUUCGGAUUGUAAAGCACUUUAAGUUGGGAGGAAGGGCAGUAAGCGAAUACCUUGCUGUUUUGACGUUACCGACAGAAUAAGCACCGGCUAACUCUGUGCCAGCAGCCGCGGUAAUACAGAGGGUGCAAGCGUUAAUCGGAAUUACUGGGCGUAAAGCGCGCGUAGGUGGUUCGUUAAGUUGAAUGUGAAAGCCCCGGGCUCAACCUGGGAACUGCAUCCAAAACUGGCGAGCUAGAGUAGGGCAGAGGGUGGUGGAAUUUCCUGUGUAGCGGUGAAAUGCGUAGAUAUAGGAAGGAACACCAGUGGCGAAGGCGACCACCUGGGCUCAUACUGACACUGAGGUGCGAAAGCGUGGGGAGCAAACAGG
This 429-nucleotide ribosomal RNA is filed under the name Pseudomonadota bacterium. RNAcentral's name for it is "Proteobacteria bacterium partial 16S ribosomal RNA". It matches the Rfam family "Bacterial small subunit ribosomal RNA", at positions 355 to 776 of the family's 1533-position model. The record is from RNAcentral. RNAcentral also lists the same sequence under 2 other names. Lineage: Bacteria; Pseudomonadati; Pseudomonadota.